Molecule: ribosomal RNA, 274 nt
Filed under: uncultured bacterium
Lineage: Bacteria
Description: partial 16S ribosomal RNA
Rfam family: Archaeal small subunit ribosomal RNA
Source: RNAcentral
AAACCAGCACCUCAAGUGGUCAGGAUGAUUAUUGGGCCUAAAGCAUCCGUAGCCGGCUCUGUAAGUUUUCGGUUAAAUCUAUAUGCUCAACAUAUAGGCUGCCGGGAAUACUGCAGAGCUAGGGAGUGGGAGAGGUAGACGGUACUCGGUAGGAAGGGGUAAAAUCCUUUGAUCUAUCGAUGACCACCUGUGGCGAAGGCGGUCUACUAGAACACGUCCGACGGUGAGGGAUGAAAGCUGCGGGAGCAAACCGGAUUAGAAACCCCGGUAGUCC